RNAcentral lists this transfer RNA (85 nucleotides) under Felis catus (domestic cat). It matches the Rfam family "tRNA". From Rfam's summary of the family: Transfer RNA (tRNA) molecules are approximately 80 nucleotides in length. Their secondary structure includes four short double-helical elements and three loops (D, anti-codon, and T loops). Further hydrogen bonds mediate the characteristic L-shaped molecular structure. tRNAs have two regions of fundamental functional importance: the anti-codon, which is responsible for specific mRNA codon recognition, and the 3' end, to which the tRNAs corresponding amino acid is attached (by aminoacyl-tRNA synthetases). tRNAs cope with the degeneracy of the genetic code in two manners: having more than one tRNA (with a specific anti-codon) for a particular amino acid; and 'wobble' base-pairing, i.e. permitting non-standard base-pairing at the 3rd anti-codon position. Lineage: Eukaryota; Metazoa; Chordata; Mammalia; Carnivora; Felidae. The record is from Rfam by way of RNAcentral.
GCCUGGGUGGCUCAGUUGGUUAAGUGUCCGACUUCGGCUCAGGUCAUGAUCUCAUGGUUUGUGGGUUCAAGCCCCACAUCGGGCU